UACGUAGGGUGCAAGCGUUGUCCGGAAUUAUUGGGCGUAAAGAGCUUGUAGGCGGUUUGUCGCGUCUGCUGUGAAAAUCCGGGGCUCAACCCCGGACUUGCAGUGGGUACGGGCAGACUAGAGUGUGGUAGGGGAGACUGGAAUUCCUGGUGUAGCGGUGAAAUGCGCAGAUAUCAGGAGGAACACCGGUGGCGAAGGCGGCCUGCUGGGCAGUUUUGCUGACACUGAGGCGCGACAGCGUGGGGGAGCAAACAGG
This 256-nucleotide ribosomal RNA is filed under the name uncultured bacterium. RNAcentral describes it as "partial 16S ribosomal RNA". It matches the Rfam family "Bacterial small subunit ribosomal RNA", at positions 524 to 776 of the family's 1533-position model. The record is from RNAcentral.